Molecule: transfer RNA, 75 nt
Filed under: Nitrososphaeria archaeon
Lineage: Archaea; Thermoproteati; Nitrososphaerota; Nitrososphaeria
Also listed under: 1 other name
Description: tRNA-Arg
Rfam family: tRNA
About the family: Transfer RNA (tRNA) molecules are approximately 80 nucleotides in length. Their secondary structure includes four short double-helical elements and three loops (D, anti-codon, and T loops).
Source: RNAcentral
GGGCCCGUAGCUCAGCUUGGAUAGAGCAUCGGCCUUCUAAGCCGGGGGUCCCGGGUUCGAAUCCCGGCGGGCCCG